GUCAGACCGAUAGAGUACAGGAAGGGACUGUCAGACUACCUGUCAUCUGUUGAUAAUAGUCUGAUUAAAACUGAAGGUUACAAUCUGCACCUACAUGCAACAUCUUCUCACUCUUAUUAUUAUCUCUUACAGGCUGACUACACCACUCGCGUCGCAUGCGUGAGCGUUGCAAAAUAUAUUUAGAAAUCUAUAUUAUUCCAUUAUUGCACCCACAGUGCUCACACGCGCCAACGAGCAUCUGCGUUGCCAAGGGCUAAAAUAGAUGGCGCUGCAAGUCCUGCCUCUCCCAUCUCCUCAUUGGUUUAUAGAAGCAGGUACCCACGUGCCAUCUCCUCAUUGGUUUAUAGAAGCAGGUACCCACGUGCCAUCUCCUCAUUGGUUUAUAGAAGCAGGUAUCCACGUGCCAUCUCCUCAUUGGUUUAUAGAAGCAGGUAUCCACGUGCCAUCUCCUCAUUGGUUUAUAGAAGCAGGUGCCAUCUCCUCAUUGGUUUAUAGAAGCAGGUACCCACGUGCCAUCUCCUCAUUGGUUUAUAGAAGCAGGUACCCACGUGCCAUCUCCUCAUUGGUUUAUAGAAGCAGGUGCCAUCUCCUCAUUGGUUUAUAGAAGCAGGUGCCAUCUCCUCAUUGGUUUAUAGAAGCAGGUACCCACGUGCCAUCUCCUCAUUGGUUUAUAGAAGCAGGUACCCACGUGCCAUCUCCUCAUUGGUUUAUAGAAGCAGGUAUCCACGUGCCAUCUCCUCAUUGGUUUAUAGAAGCAGGUAUCCACGUGCCAUCUCCUCAUUGGUUUAUAGAAGCAGGUGCCAUCUCCUCAUUGGUUUAUAGAAGCAGGUGCCAUCUCCUCAUUGGUUUAUAGAAGCAGGUGCCAUCUCCUCAUUGGUUUAUAGAAGCAGGUGCCAUCUCCUCAUUGGUUUAUAGAAGCAGGUGCCAUCUCCUCAUUGGUUUAUAGAAGCAGGUGCCAUCUCCUCAUUGGUUUAUAGAAGCAGGUGCCAUCUCCUCAUUGGUUUAUAGAAGCAGGUACCCACGUGCCAUCUCCUCAUUGGUU
This is a long non-coding RNA of Oncorhynchus keta (chum salmon), 1042 nucleotides long. RefSeq lists it as uncharacterized. The record is from RefSeq and is a predicted model, not a curated record. The transcript is spliced from 6 exons. NCBI's taxonomy places the organism in Eukaryota, Metazoa, Chordata, Actinopteri, Salmoniformes, Salmonidae.